CAUAGAAAACAGGGGUGCUGUAAAAGGCUGAGAUGGAUAUUUCCGAACCCUUUUUACCUGAUACGGGCAAUACCGACGUAGGGAGCUUGAAGCAUAUAUUU
Molecule: regulatory RNA element, 101 nt
Organism: Ruminococcus sp. CAG:382
Lineage: Bacteria; Bacillati; Bacillota; Clostridia; Eubacteriales; Oscillospiraceae
Rfam family: TPP riboswitch aptamer (THI element)
About the family: Vitamin B(1) in its active form thiamin pyrophosphate (TPP) is an essential coenzyme that is synthesised by coupling of pyrimidine and thiazole moieties in bacteria.
Source: Rfam